RNAcentral lists this ribosomal RNA (231 nucleotides) under uncultured fungus. RNAcentral's name for it is "partial 18S ribosomal RNA". It matches the Rfam family "Eukaryotic small subunit ribosomal RNA", at positions 40 to 274 of the family's 1831-position model. The record is from RNAcentral. Lineage: Eukaryota; Fungi.
AAGAUUAAGCCAUGCAUGUCUAAGUAUAAGCAAUUUAUACAGUGAAACUGCGAAUGGCUCAUUAAAUCAGUUAUAGUUUAUUUGAUAGUACCUUACUACUUGGAUAACCGUGGUAAUUCUAGAGCUAAUACAUGCUAAAAACCCCGACUGCUCGGGAGGGGUGUAUUUAUUAGAUAAAAAAUCAAUGCCCUCGGGCUCUUUGAUGAUUCAUAAUAACUUGUCGAAUCGCAU